UACGUAGGGUGCAAGCGUUGUCCGGAAUUAUUGGGCGUAAAGAGCUCGUAGGCGGUUUGUUGCGUCGGCUGUGAAAACCUGAGGCUCAACCUCAGGCCUGCAGUCGAUACGAGCAGACUAGAGUGUUGCAGGGGAGACUGGAAUUCCUGGUGUAGCGGUGAAAUGCGCAGAUAUCAGGAGGAACACCGGUGGCGAAGGCGGGUCUCUGGGCCGAAACUGACGCUGAGGAGCGAAAGCGUGGGGAGCAAACAGG
RNAcentral lists this ribosomal RNA (253 nucleotides) under uncultured bacterium. RNAcentral's name for it is "partial 16S ribosomal RNA". It matches the Rfam family "Bacterial small subunit ribosomal RNA", at positions 524 to 776 of the family's 1533-position model. The record is from RNAcentral.